This 1218-nucleotide ribosomal RNA is filed under the name uncultured Rhizaria. Its description in RNAcentral is "SSU rRNA". It matches the Rfam family "Eukaryotic small subunit ribosomal RNA", at positions 577 to 1805 of the family's 1831-position model. The record is from RNAcentral.
CGGUAAUUCCAGCUCCAAUAGUGUAUACUAAAGUUGUUGCAGUUAAAAAGCUCGUAGUUGGAUUUCUGCGGGGACGGAGCGGCCGGUCGCAAUUUGCGACUCGAGCUAGCGCUUUCCCCGCAUCCUGCCGCGAACCGUGCUACCAUUAGUUUGGUGGCGCUGGGGAUCGGCUCGAUUACUUUGAGAAAAAUAGAGUGUUCAAAGCAGGCCACACGCCUUGAAUAAGUUAGCAUGGAAUAAUGACUAAGGACUUUGGUUCUUUUCGUUGGUGUUCGGGACUGAAGUAAUGAUUGAUAGGGACAGUUGGGGCGGUCCGUAUUCCAAAGCGAGAGGUGAAAUUCUUAGACCUUCGGAAGACGAACAGCUGCGAAAGCGUUCCGCAAGGAUGUUCCCUUUGAUCAAGAACGAAAGUUGGGGGAUCGAAGACGAUCAGAUACCGUCGUAGUCUCAACUAUAAACUAUACCAGCUAGGGAUCGGCCAACGUUUAAUUUAUCGACUUGGUCGGCACCUUAUGAGAAAUCAAAGCAUCUGGGUUCCGGGGGGAGUAUGGUCGCAAGGCUGAAACUUAAAGGAAUUGACGGAAGGGCACCACCAGCCGUGGAGCCUGUGGCUUAAUUUGACUCAACACGGGAAAACUUACCAGGUCCAGACAUAGGAAGGAUUGACAGAUUGAUAGCUCUUUCUUGAUUCUGUGGGUGGUGGUGCAUGGCCGUUUUUAGUCGGUGGAUGUGAUCUGUCUGCUUAAUUGCGUUAACGGACGAGACCCCAGCCUGCUAAAUAGCGCGGCCGAGCUUUGCUCGGUGCGAGCUUCUUAGAGGGACCAUGAUGCGCGAUAGCACAAGGAAGUUUGGGGCAACAACAGGUCUGUGAUGCCCUUAGAUGUUCUGGGCCGCACACGGGCUACACUGGCGCCUGCAACGAGCAUAUCAGCUGGCCCGAGAGGGUCUUGGCUAAUCUUUGGAACCGGCGCCGUGCUUGGGAUUGACCAUUGCAAUUGUUGGUCAUGCAACGAGGAAUGCCUUGUAAACGCGAGUCAUCAGCUCGCAUUGAAUACGUCCCUGCCCUUUGUACACACCGCCCGUCGCUCCUACCGAUGAAUGUUCCGAUGAAAUUUUCGGAGAGCACCAGAGAACGGGGCCCCGCCUUGCAGAUCUGGAGGCUCAAAGUCACUUAAAUCUGAACAUUUCGAGGAAGGAGAAGUCGUAACAAGGUAGCCG